RNAcentral lists this ribosomal RNA (486 nucleotides) under uncultured bacterium. RNAcentral's name for it is "partial 16S ribosomal RNA". It matches the Rfam family "Bacterial small subunit ribosomal RNA", at positions 30 to 507 of the family's 1533-position model. The record is from RNAcentral.
AUUGAACGCUGGCGGCAUGCCUUACACAUGCAAGUCGAACGGCAGCACGGGUGCUUGCACCUGGUGGCGAGUGGCGAACGGGUGAGUAAUACAUCUGAACAUGUCCUGUAGUGGGGGAUAGCCCGGCGAAAGCCGGAUUAAUACCGCAUACGAUCUACGGAUGACAGCGGGGUACCUUCGGGCCUCGCGCUAUAGGGUUGGCCGAUGGCUGAUUAGCUAGUUGGUGGGGUAAAGGCCUACCAAGGCGACGAUCAGUAGCUGGUCUGAGAGGACGACCAGCCACACUGGGACUGAGACACGGCCCAGACUCCUACGGGAGGCAGCAGUGGGGAAUUUUGGACAAUGGGCGAAAGCCUGAUCCAGCAAUGCCGCGUGUGUGAAGAAGGCCUUCGGGUUGUAAAGCACUUUUGUCCGGAAAGAAAUACUUGGCCCUAAUACGGUCGGGGGAUGACGGUACCGGAAGAAUAAGCACCGGCUAACUACGUG